AGCAGCCGCGGUAAUUCCAGCUCCAAUAGCGUAUAUUAAAGUUGUUGCAGUUAAAAAGCUCGUAGUUGAAUUUCGGGAUCAAUUUAUUGGUCGUGCAAUAGUACGUACUGGUAUUAUUGGUUCCUACCUUCUGAUGAACCAUGAUGUCAUUAAUUUGGUGUUAUGGGGAAUCAGGACUGUUACUUUGAAAAAAUUAGAGUGUUUAAAGCAGGCUCACGCUUGAAUACAUUAGCAUGGAAUAAUGAAAUAGGACGUUUGAUUCUAUUUUGUUGGUUUCUAGGAUCGACGUAAUGAUUAAUAGGGAUAGUUGGGGGCAUUAGUAUUCAAUUGUCAGAGGUGAAAUUCUUGGAUUUAUUGAAGACUAACUACUGCGAAAGCAUUUGCCAAGGAUGUUUUCAUUAAUCAAGAACGAAAGUUAGGGGAUCGAAGACGAUCAGAUACCGUCGUAGU
This 450-nucleotide ribosomal RNA is filed under the name uncultured Glomeromycotina. Its description in RNAcentral is "SSU rRNA". It matches the Rfam family "Eukaryotic small subunit ribosomal RNA", at positions 569 to 1024 of the family's 1831-position model. The record is from RNAcentral. Lineage: Eukaryota; Fungi; Glomeromycota.